This is a long non-coding RNA of Quercus robur (English oak), 197 nucleotides long. RefSeq lists it as uncharacterized. Lineage: Eukaryota; Viridiplantae; Streptophyta; Magnoliopsida; Fagales; Fagaceae. The transcript has 2 exons. The record is from RefSeq and is a predicted model, not a curated record.
GCUGGAUUUUGACCUAUUUCUUCCCCCAGACAUUUCUUUGGAAGCGGGGCUCCGCAAAGAUUUGGAUUCCCCUCAUAUGAGGAUGCAUUAAAGGUAUCAAGAUGAGGGCUUGUCGGAAUUUUUCCGGACACAUUGUUGUUUGACAAGUCCAAGACACUUAGACGAUCAAUAUGAGAAAGGCUUGAAGGAAUUCCACC